ACAGGGUUUAACCAUCUUUCUCAGUGGUAAUUUGUGGGAAGAAAAUGGAUAGAAAAGGAAAGGUCAUAGGAUGCAUGUGUGGGCGUGGGUUUUGGGAGCAUUGAACUUGGAACCAUUUAAAGAUUUGAGAGCUGAGAAAGACUGAAGAGAGAGGAGAGAAGACAUUUGUGGGGCGACUGAGGAACACUCUUAGCUGUCUUAACCCCUACAGAUCGAAAUUCAUGUCAUGGAUAAUUAUGGGGCUGAAAUGAAUUUUCAAAGAGGAUGGAUCUUUUUGGUACUUUUGCUAAGUUCCAUUUUGCAUGACCCCUCAUUGGCCUUCCUCUGUCCCUCCUCGUUUUUUCUGUUCAUAAGGAUCCACCGAUUUGAUGCUACUGUAGAGAGAACCACUGUCGUGUGUUGAUAGACCAAUUUCAUCAACGAGAUUGUUUAAAUUUCUAUAUGUUAUCUAAUGCAUAUGUCGAAGUUAGAUCGAGUUUUCGUUUUUCGUCUAUCUUUUUGUUGUGCUUCGAAGUUAAGAAUUCAACAAGUGGGUUACACAACUUCCACUUCCACUUGUUUUUUUUAAUGAUAAUAAUCUCUUGAGACAAAAAC
RNAcentral lists this long non-coding RNA (594 nucleotides) under Arabidopsis thaliana (thale cress). RNAcentral's name for it is "ncRNA (AT5G00875)". Lineage: Eukaryota; Viridiplantae; Streptophyta; Magnoliopsida; Brassicales; Brassicaceae. The record is from RNAcentral.